GACAGCAGUAGCCACGGGAAUACAGAGGGUGCGAGCGUUAAUCGGAUUUACUGGGCGUAAAGCGUGCGUAGGCGGCUUUUUAAGUCGGAUGUGAAAUCCCUGAGCUUAACUUAGGAAUUGCAUUCGAUACUGGGAAGCUAGAGUAUGGGAGAGGAUGGUAGAAUUCCAGGUGUAGCGGUGAAAUGCGUAGAGAUCUGGAGGAAUACCGAUGGCGAAGGCAGCCAUCUGGCCUAAUACUGACGCUGAGGUACGAAAGCAUGGGGAGCAAACAGGAUUAGAUACCCCGGUAGUCCCUGUCUCUUAUAC
RNAcentral lists this ribosomal RNA (306 nucleotides) under uncultured bacterium. RNAcentral describes it as "partial 16S ribosomal RNA". It matches the Rfam family "Bacterial small subunit ribosomal RNA", at positions 505 to 807 of the family's 1533-position model. The record is from RNAcentral.